GGGCGAAAGCCUGAUGGAGCAACGCCGCGUGAGUGAAGAAGGAUUUCGGUUCGUAAAACUCUGUUGUAAGGGAAGAACAAGUACAGUAGUAACUGGCUGUACCUUGACGGUACCUUAUUAGAAAGCCACGGCUAACUACGUGCCAGCAGCCGCGGUAAUACGUAGGUGGCAAGCGUUGUCCGGAAUUAUUGGGCGUAAAGCGCGCGCAGGUGGUUUCUUAAGUCUGAUGUGAAAGCCCACGACUCAACCGUGGAGGGUCAUUGGAAACUGGGAGACUUGAGUGCAGAAGAGGAUAGUGGAAUUCCAAGUGUAGCGGUGAAAUGCGCAGAGAUUUGGAGGAAUACCAGUGGCGAAGGCGACUAUCUGGUCUGUAACUGACACUGAGGCGCGAAAGCGUGGGGAGCAAACAGGAUUAGAUACCCUGGUAGUCCACGCCGUAAACGAUGAGUGCUAAGUGUUAGGGGGUUUCCGCCCCUUAGUGCUGCAGCUAACGCAUUAAGCACUCCGCCUGGGGAGUACGGUCGCAAGACUGAAACU
RNAcentral lists this ribosomal RNA (537 nucleotides) under uncultured bacterium. RNAcentral's name for it is "bacterial SSU rRNA". It matches the Rfam family "Bacterial small subunit ribosomal RNA", at positions 373 to 901 of the family's 1533-position model. The record is from RNAcentral.